AUUGAACGCUGGCGGCAGGCCUAACACAUGCAAGUCGAGCGGAUGAAGGGAGCUUGCUCCUGGAUUCAGCGGCGGACGGGUGAGUAAUGCCUAGGAAUCUGCCUGGUAGUGGGGGAUAACGUCCGGAAACGGGCGCUAAUACCGAAUACGUCCUGAGGGAGAAAGUGGGGGAUCCUCGGACCUCACGCUAUCAGAUGAGCCUAGGUCGGAUUAGCUAGUUGGUGGGGUAAAGGCCUACCAAGGCGACGAUCCGUAACUGGUCUGAGAGGAUGAUCAGUCACACGGGAACUGAGACACGGUCCAGACUCCUACGGUAGGCAGCAGUGGGGAAUAUUGGACAAUGGGCGAAAGCCUGAUCCAGCCAUGCCGCGUGUGUGAAGAAGGUCUUCGGAUUGUAAAGCACUUUAAGUUGGGAGGAAGGGCAGUAAGUUAAUACCUUGCUGUUUUGACGUUACCAACAGAAUAAGCACCGGCUAACUUCGUG
Molecule: ribosomal RNA, 484 nt
Filed under: uncultured bacterium
Lineage: Bacteria
Description: partial 16S ribosomal RNA
Rfam family: Bacterial small subunit ribosomal RNA
Source: RNAcentral